AUUGAACGCUGGCGGCAGGCUUAACACAUGCAAGUCGAGCGGAGUGAUGGUGCUUGCACUAUCACUUAGCGGCGGACGGGUGAGUAAUGCUUAGGAAUCUGCCUAUUAGUGGGGGACAACAUCUCGAAAGGGAUGCUAAUACCGCAUACGUCCUACGGGAGAAAGCAGGGGAUCACUUGUGACCUUGCGCUAAUAGAUGAGCCUAAGUCGGGUUAGCUGGUUGGUGGGGUAAAGGCCUACCAAGGCGACGACCUGUAGCGGGUCUGAGAGGAUGAUCCGCCAAACUGGGACUGAGACACGGCCCAGACUCCUACGGGAGGCAGCAGUGGGGAAUAUUGGACAAUGGGGGGAACCCUGAUCCAGCCAUGCCGCGUGUGUGAAGAAGGCCUUAUGGUUGUAAAGCACUUUAAGCGAGGAGGAGGCUCUUUUGGUUAAUACCCAAGAUGAGUGGACGUUACUCGCAGAAUAAGCACCGGCUAACUCUGUGCCAGCCGCCGCCGUAA
This 503-nucleotide ribosomal RNA is filed under the name uncultured bacterium. RNAcentral describes it as "partial 16S ribosomal RNA". It matches the Rfam family "Bacterial small subunit ribosomal RNA", at positions 30 to 523 of the family's 1533-position model. The record is from RNAcentral.